Molecule: long non-coding RNA, 650 nt
Filed under: Olea europaea (common olive)
Lineage: Eukaryota; Viridiplantae; Streptophyta; Magnoliopsida; Lamiales; Oleaceae
Description: long non-coding RNA (OEUR_LNC007939)
Source: RNAcentral
AUCUUCCUCCACCAUCUGCACGACAUAAUACUGCCGUUUUUCCCUUCAAAGGAUUUUAUUGAUUCCAAGUCAUGGGAAAGCAAAUGGGUUACAUGCACUAUUGGAUUGAGGAGGUUGCUCCAUCCUCUCUCGUAUUUCCUCGUAAGCCUUCGAAUGCGCCAAAACUCGAAACUAUUGCAGAAGAAGGAUCUGAUCAAAAGUUGAAUUUUGUCAACAAGAGGCUGUGUAGUUUUCUUCUCCCUAUCUUCAUUUCUUUGGGUUCCUAUCUUUUGAUAAACAGAUAUAAUGUUAUUAUCUGAUUGGAAGAACUCAAAGACUCUCAUCCCGUUCUUGAAGGGUGUAUCUUGUAAGAUUAUGAGCAAGUUGGGCACUGUUUCUUUGUAAACGAGUUUUGAAGUUGAGUUCUAUCCCAUGUGAUUACGAUGAAGAUAUUAGAUCUGUAAAGAUGGAGUCAAUGGCAACAAGGAGAUGAACCACACGUACCAUUGGCUUUUCAAGAACAUAGCUAAAGGAACUGGGAUGCAAUCACGUCAUCAUAACAGAGAAAUUCCCAACCUUUAUAUUUCUUUCUUUUCAAUAAAGGAGAAGACGAAUUCUGAAAUACUCUUUAGAUGCAAUCAUGAAGUUAUUUUGUAGUUGGUUAAUUAUGU